Mesoplodon densirostris (Blainville's beaked whale) is the source of this 1135-nucleotide long non-coding RNA. RefSeq lists it as uncharacterized. NCBI's taxonomy places the organism in Eukaryota, Metazoa, Chordata, Mammalia, Artiodactyla, Ziphiidae. The transcript has 3 exons. The record is from RefSeq and is a predicted model, not a curated record.
GCCUCUAAGCUCACAUUUUACACACAGAUAUCACAGACACUAAUAUGUCACCAAAGAUACGUGAGAAGAACCUUGUAAAAGGCUCUGUAGCCUGGUAUCCUUCCUGUGGCAACAGGUGGCUGUGAAUCCCCUCCCCUCCCUGGGCCUCAGUUUCCCCAUGUGUACAAUGAAGCAGUUGGACUGGAUAAUCCUUGAGUUCCUUUCUAGCUCUAGCAUCACCCUCAGAUGCCCUGGUACCCAGAACAGUAAUUGGACAAGGGGCAUGGUGACCCCAGGAUCUGGGUCAGUCCACAUCUUGGAGCAUGGUGGAAUCGAUGGCUGCAGCCCCCUGGAAGCUGAACGUGGCAGGAACGGGCUGAGAGAUUUUUUGGCUGACGGUGAAAUGUCCUGGCAGAGUCUGUGCAGCAACAGAGCAUCACCCUAUAUCAUAGAGGAGGGAACAGAAACUGGAGAAGCAAGUGCCUUUCUGACAUAGAGCACAAGUAGCAGGAGCUGGAUUCAACCUCAGCCCAUCCAGGAUCACAGUCCUUCUUCCCAGGACCAAGUUGAGCUGAGAGGAGGAGGAAGAGGGGUCUGUGAGGUCCAGGUGGAGACGCUCCGCAGGCACGUGCGGAAGCUUGGAGACAUGAUGUGUACAAGCUGGAGGUGUUGCUCUCAGCUUAGUGCACCCUGUGGGACUCCUGGUGUAGCCGACGUGCCCUGCCGAAGUGUUCCUUGCAGCUGGCGACUGGUGGCCUUAGGAUUACACCAUGUUUGAUUUUCUUGUUUCCUACUGAUUGACUAUUAAAAUGUUUCCAGUGUCGUUCCAUUAAGACAAACCUGUAAGAGCAUCUUAUAAUUGUUCGUUUUGCACAUGUACAAGUAUUUCUCUGGGAUAGAUACUUAGAAAUGGAACUGAUGGGUCAUAGGGUAUUCAUAUCUUAAAUUCUAAUAGAAAUUUCUAAAGUGUUCUCCAAAUUGCCUUCUAAUGUAAUCUCCUGCUAGCCGCGUGUGUGUGUCCAUUUCCCCAGACCAUGUCCAAGUUUUCCAUUUUUAACCAGUCUGAUGAGUGAGAAAUAGUAUCUUGCUUUAGUUGGCAUUUUUCUGAAUUACCUGCAAGACUGAAGUCUUCAUGUGUUUACUGUCCAUUUUCAUU